AUGCAAGUUGAGCGAUGAAGAUUGGUGCUUGCACCAAUUUGAAGAGCAGCGAACGGGUGAGUAACGCGUGGGGAAUCUGCCUUUGAGCGGGGGACAACAUUUGGAAACGAAUGCUAAUACCGCAUAACAACUUUAAACAUAAGUUUUAAGUUUGAAAGAUGCAAUUGCAUCACUCAAAGAUGAUCCCGCGUUGUAUUAGCUAGUUGGUGAGGUAAAGGCUCACCAAGGCGAUGAUACAUAGCCGACCUGAGAGGGUGAUCGGCCACAUUGGGACUGAGACACGGCCCAAACUCCUACGGGAGGCAGCAGUAGGGAAUCUUCGGCAAUGGACGAAAGUCUGACCGAGCAACGCCGCGUGAGUGAAGAAGGUUUUCGGAUCGUAAAACUCUGUUGGUAGAGAAGAACGUUGGUGAGAGUGGAAAGCUCAUCAAGUGAC
RNAcentral lists this ribosomal RNA (436 nucleotides) under Lactococcus lactis. RNAcentral describes it as "bacterial SSU rRNA". It matches the Rfam family "Bacterial small subunit ribosomal RNA", at positions 55 to 473 of the family's 1533-position model. The record is from RNAcentral. Lineage: Bacteria; Bacillati; Bacillota; Bacilli; Lactobacillales; Streptococcaceae.